GAUGAACGCUGGCGGCGUGCCUAAUACAUGCAAGUCGAGCGAACAGACGAGGAGCUUGCUCCUCUGAUGUUAGCGGCGGACGGGUGAGUAACACGUGGAUAACCUACCUAUAAGACUGGGAUAACUUCGGGAAACCGGAGCUAAUACCGGAUAACAUGUUGAACCGCAUGGUUCAACAGUGAAAGACGGUCUUGCUGUCACUUAUAGAUGGAUCCGCGCCGCAUUAGCUAGUUGGUAAGGUAACGGCUUACCAAGGCAACGAUGCGUAGCCGACCUGAGAGAGUGAUCGGCCACACUGGAACUGAGACACGGUCCAGACUCCUACGAGAGGCAGCAGUAGGGAAUCUUCCGCAAUGGGCGAAAGCCUGACGGAGCAACGCCGCGUGAGUGAAGAAGGUCUUCGGAGCGUAAAACUCUGUUAUUAGGGAAGAACAAAUGUGUAAGUAACUAUGCACGUCUUGACGGUACCUAAUCAGAAAGCCACGGCUAACUACGUG
This 497-nucleotide ribosomal RNA is filed under the name uncultured bacterium. RNAcentral describes it as "partial 16S ribosomal RNA". It matches the Rfam family "Bacterial small subunit ribosomal RNA", at positions 28 to 507 of the family's 1533-position model. The record is from RNAcentral.